GAAUUUAUAAUUAAACAUUUACCCCUGUAUUUUUUCUUUUUACACAUUCUUCGUUUUUCUUUUAAUCAUAGUUUCAAAAGAGACGAGACAUUUGCCUCUGCUAGGGUUAUUGCCUCCUUCACCAUCGUCGCUCGUUCUCUAUUCCUCUCCCUCUGCGGUCGCUCGUUCACUAUUCCUCUCCCUCUGUGGUCCCUCGUUCUGAUCAUCGUACACCAUCGUUGGUUCUCUGCUCCUCACCGUGCGUUGUCGCUACUGCUCUGCUCCUCCCCGUGUCUCGCGGUCGUUGGUGGGUGGUCUCGCCGUGUCUUGCUUCCGUGUCUGCUCGAAGUCGAAGCAACAUUUCUUCUCUUGUCUGGACUCACUCCGACUCUCUGCUUUAGUUCGGUAGUUCAAUUCAGGUCAACCUGCUAAUAUAAUCACUUACACUUCCUUGUUGGAUGGGAUGUUCAAUAUCAAACAAGUUGACAAGGCAUUUGUGUUAUUUAAUCAAAUGAAAAAGAGUGGCAUUGACCCGAAUAUAGAUCGACGGGCUCUGCAAAGAGGGCUUAUUUGAAGAAGCAUUGGCCCUGAUGUCAAAAAUGGAAGACAAUGGUUGCUUACCAAAUGCUGUGACUUUUGAAAUUGUUAUUCGUGCUUUGUUUGAAAAAGGUGAGAAUGACAUGGCAGAGAAACUUCUUCGGGAAAUGAUUGCUAGAGGCUUAUUGAACGGAUGAAUGAAGGUAAAAUACAUCAACUCAAAUUGAAAUCACCUCUCUAUUGUUGCAGAAUAUGUAUCAUAUUUCUGUAAAUUCUAUAUCUGUUGGGUCACAGAACUUUGGCAAUGCCAUAACAUCAAUACCAUUGAUGUCUUGACUAUCUCAUUUUUAUUCAAUUAAUUUUGAACUUUCAAUUUUUGUAAUUGCUAUCAUCCUUUUUAAUUCCACUAUGCUUUAUUGAUUCUUUAGAGGAUAUUCCUAGUUGUAGCUUACAGGUUUAGUGUUUAAGAUCUCUUUAUAUUAAUUAAUAGUUCUUUACUGUUA
Molecule: long non-coding RNA, 1019 nt
Organism: Arachis ipaensis
Lineage: Eukaryota; Viridiplantae; Streptophyta; Magnoliopsida; Fabales; Fabaceae
Source: RefSeq, a predicted model, not a curated record